AAGUCGUAACAAGGUUUCCGUAGGUGAACCUGCGGAAGGAUCAUUAAAAGAAUCUGCCUCACCCACAGAUAUCUUAUCACGUGUGAACUGUCUAGCUUGUCACCUGAGAUGGACACCUCAGAGAUCUCGGUCUUUGGGGGGUCUGUCUUGGGGGUCAGCUUAUGCUACUGAUUGUGCCCCGAGAAUCUUUAAAAGACUAUAAAACUUUUAGCAAUGGAUCUCUAGGCUCCU
RNAcentral lists this unclassified non-coding RNA (231 nucleotides) under fungal sp. Its description in RNAcentral is "partial internal transcribed spacer region". The stretch from base 1 to 46 matches the Rfam family "Eukaryotic small subunit ribosomal RNA", at positions 1786 to 1831 of the family's 1831-position model. The record is from RNAcentral. Lineage: Eukaryota; Fungi.